RNAcentral lists this ribosomal RNA (590 nucleotides) under uncultured Burkholderia sp. RNAcentral describes it as "bacterial SSU rRNA". It matches the Rfam family "Bacterial small subunit ribosomal RNA", at positions 418 to 1003 of the family's 1533-position model. The record is from RNAcentral. Lineage: Bacteria; Pseudomonadati; Pseudomonadota; Betaproteobacteria; Burkholderiales; Burkholderiaceae.
UCGGGUUGUAAAGCACUUUUGUCCGGAAAGAAAACUUCUCCAUUAAUACCGGGGGAGGAUGACGGUACCGGAAGAAUAAGCACCGGCUAACUACGUGCCAGCAGCGCGGUAAUCGUAGGGUGCGAGCGUUAAUCGGAAUUACUGGGCGUAAAGCGUGCGCAGGCGGUUCGUUAAGACAGAUGUGAAAUCCCCGGGCUUAACCUGGGAACUGCAUUUGUGACUGGCGAGCUAGAGUAUGGCAGAGGGGGGUAGAAUUCCACGUGUAGCAGUGAAAUGCGUAGAGAUGUGGAGGAAUACCGAUGGCGAAGGCAGCCCCCUGGGCCAAUACUGACGCUCAUGCACGAAAGCGUGGGGAGCAAACAGGAUUAGAUACCCUGGUAGUCCACGCCCUAAACGAUGUCAACUAGUUGUUGGGGAUUCAUUUCCUUAGUAACGUAGCUAACGCGUGAAGUUGACCGCCUGGGGAGUACGGUCGCAAGAUUAAAACUCAAAGGAAUUGACGGGGACCCGCACAAGCGGUGGAUGAUGUGGAUUAAUUCGAUGCAACGCGAAAAACCUUACCUACCCUUGACAUGGUCGGAACCCUGCUG